Molecule: ribosomal RNA, 1951 nt
Filed under: human gut metagenome
Description: bacterial LSU rRNA
Rfam family: Bacterial large subunit ribosomal RNA
Source: RNAcentral
UUAAGCGACUAAGCGUACACGGUGGAUGCCCUGGCAGUCAGAGGCGAUGAAGGACGUGCUAAUCUGCGAUAAGCGUCGGUAAGGUGAUAUGAACCGUUAUAACCGGCGAUUUCCGAAUGGGGAAACCCAGUGUGAUUCGUCACACUAUCGUUAAGUGAAUACAUAGCUUAACGAAGCGAACCGGGGGAACUGAAACAUCUAAGUACCCCGAGGAAAAGAAAUCAACCGAGAUUCCCCCAGUAGCGGCGAGCGAACGGGGAGGAGCCCAGAGUCUGAAUCAGCGCGUGUGUUAGUGGAACGGUCUGGAAAGUCCGGCGGUACAGGGUGAUAGCCCCGUACACUAAAAUGCACACGUUGUGAACUCGAAGAGUAGGGCGGGACACGUGGUAUCCUGUCUGAAUAUGGGGGGACCAUCCUCCAAGGCUAAAUACUCCUGACUGACCGAUAGUGAACCAGUACCGUGAGGGAAAGGCGAAAAGAACCCCGGCGAGGGGAGUGAAAAAGAACCUGAAACCGUGUACGUACAAGCAGUGGGAGCCUACUUGUUAGGUGACUGCGUACCUUUUGUAUAAUGGGUCAGCGACUUAUAUUCUGUAGCAAGGUUAACCGUAUAGGGGAGCCGCAGGGAAACCGAGUCUUAACUGGGCGUUAAGUUGCAGGGUAUAGACCCGAAACCCGGUGAUCUAGCCAUGGGCAGGUUGAAGGUUGGGUAACACUAACUGGAGGACCGAACCGACUAAUGUUGAAAAAUUAGCGGAUGACUUGUGGCUGGGGGUGAAAGGCCAAUCAAACCGGGAGAUAGCUGGUUCUCCCCGAAAGCUAUUUAGGUAGCGCCUCGUGAACUCAUCUUCGGGGGUAGAGCACUGUUUCGGCUAGGGGGUCAUCCCGACUUACCAACCCGAUGCAAACUACGAAUACCGAAGAAUGUUAUCACGGGAGACACACGGCGGGUGCUAACGUCCGUCGUGAAGAGGGAAACAACCCAGACCGCCAGCUAAGGUCCCAAAGUCAUGGUUAAGUGGGAAACGAUGUGGGAAGGCACAGACAGCCAGGAUGUUGGCUUAGAAGCAGCCAUCAUUUAAAGAAAGCGUAAUAGCUCACUGGUCGAGUCGGCCUGCGCGGAAGAUGUAACGGGGCUAAACCAUGCACCGAAGCUGCGGCAGCGACACUAUGUGUUGUUGGGUAGGGGAGCGUUCUGUAAGCCGUUGAAGGUGGCCUGUGAGGGUUGCUGGAGGUAUCAGAAGUGCGAAUGCUGACAUAAGUAACGAUAAAGCGGGUGAAAAGCCCGCUCGCCGGAAGACCAAGGGUUCCUGUCCAACGUUAAUCGGGGCAGGGUGAGUCGACCCCUAAGGCGAGGCCGAAAGGCGUAGUCGAUGGGAAACAGGUUAAUAUUCCUGUACUCGGUGUUACUGCGAAGGGGGGACGGAGAAGGCUAUGUUAGCCGGGCGACGGUUGUCCCGGUUUAAGCAUGUAGGCGGGAAGUUUAGGUAAAUCCGGACUUCUUUUAACGCUGAGGUGUGAUGACGAGGCACUACGGUGCUGAAGUAACAAAUGCCCUGCUUCCAGGAAAAGCCUCUAAGCAUCAGGUAACAACGAAUCGUACCCCAAACCGACACAGGUGGUCAGGUAGAGAAUACCAAGGCGCUUGAGAGAACUCGGGUGAAGGAACUAGGCAAAAUGGUGCCGUAACUUCGGGAGAAGGCACGCUGAUGGUAGGUGAAGUGACUUGCUCAUGGAGCUGAAAUCAGUCGAAGAUACCAGCUGGCUGCAACUGUUUAUUAAAAACACAGCACUGUGCAAACACGAAAGUGGACGUAUACGGUGUGACGCCUGCCCGGUGCCGGAAGGUUAAUUGAUGGGGUUAUCCGUAAGGAGAAGCUCUUGAUCGAAGCCCCGGUAAACGGCGGCCGUAACUAUAACGGUCCUAAGGUAGCGAAAUUCCUUGUCGGGU